This 597-nucleotide ribosomal RNA is filed under the name Pyrrhospora sp. Elix 28837. Its description in RNAcentral is "eukaryotic LSU rRNA". It matches the Rfam family "Eukaryotic large subunit ribosomal RNA", at positions 143 to 776 of the family's 3401-position model. Lineage: Eukaryota; Fungi; Ascomycota; Lecanoromycetes; Lecanorales; Lecanoraceae. The record is from RNAcentral.
UUGUAAUUUGUAGAGGAUGUUUCGGGCGCGGUGCCGGUCUAAGUCCCUUGGAACAGGGCGUCGCAGAGGGUGAGAAUCCCGUAUGUGACCGGUGGCCAACCCCAUGUGAAACCCCCUCGACGAGUCGAGUUGUUUGGGAAUGCAGCUCAAAAUGGGUGGUAAAUUUCAUCUAAAGCUAAAUACCGGCCAGAGACCGAUAGCGCACAAGUAGAGUGAUCGAAAGAUGAAAAGCACUUUGGAAAGAGAGUCAAAAAGUACGUGAAAUUGUUGAAAGGGAAGCGCUUGCGACCAGACCUGUCCGUGGGCGAUCAGCCGUUCUCAGCGGUGCACUCGGCGAUCAGGCCAGCAUCGGUUUGGGCGGUUGGAUAAAGGCCUCGAGAAUGUAGCUUAGUGUUAUAGCUCGAGGUGCAAUGCGGCCAGCCCGGACCGAGGACCGCGCUUCGGCUAGGAUGCUGGCGUAAUGGUCGUAAGCGACCCGUCUUGAAACACGGACCAAGGAGUCAAACAUUUAUGCGAGUGUUUGGGAGUCAAACCCAUACGCGCAAUGAAAGUGAACGGAGGUGAGAACCCAGGGCGCAUCAUCGACCGAUCCAGAUG